Molecule: ribosomal RNA, 165 nt
Filed under: Punica granatum (pomegranate)
Lineage: Eukaryota; Viridiplantae; Streptophyta; Magnoliopsida; Myrtales; Lythraceae
Description: 5.8S ribosomal RNA
Rfam family: 5.8S ribosomal RNA
About the family: 5.8S ribosomal RNA (5.8S rRNA) is a component of the large subunit of the eukaryotic ribosome. It is transcribed by RNA polymerase I as part of the 45S precursor that also contains 18S and 28S rRNA. Functionally, it is thought that 5.8S rRNA may be involved in ribosome translocation.
Source: RNAcentral
ACAACGACUCUCGGCAACGGAUAUCUCGGCUCUCGCAUCGAUGAAGAACGUAGCGAAAUGCGAUACUUGGUGUGAAUUGCAGAAUCCCGUGAACCAUCGAGUCCUUGAACGCAAGUUGCGCCCGAAGCCAUCCGGCCGACGGCACGUCUGCCUGGGCGUCACGCA